GCCACUUUAGCUUAGUGGUAGAGCGUCUGCUUCGUAAGCAGAAGGUCGU
This is a non-coding RNA of Perkinsus marinus ATCC 50983, 49 nucleotides long. The record is from Rfam. NCBI's taxonomy places the organism in Eukaryota, Perkinsozoa, Perkinsida, Perkinsidae.